Molecule: ribosomal RNA, 491 nt
Filed under: uncultured bacterium
Lineage: Bacteria
Description: bacterial SSU rRNA
Rfam family: Bacterial small subunit ribosomal RNA
Source: RNAcentral
AAAUGAAUUGACGGGGACCCGCACAAGCAGCGGAGCAUGUGGUUUAAUUCGAAGCAACGCGAAGAACCUUACCAAGACUUGACAUCGAGUGCAAGCCGUGGAAACACGGUCCUCCUUCGGGACACGAAGACAGGUGGUGCAUGGUUGUCGUCAGCUCGUGUCGUGAGAUGUUCGGUUAAGUCCGGCAACGAGCGCAACCCUUAUAGUCAGUUGCCAAUAUUAAGUUAGGAACUCUGGCUAGACUGCCGCGGAUAACGCGGAGGAAGGCGGGGAUGAUGUCAAAUCAUCAUGCCCCUUACGUCUUGGGCUACACACGUGCUACAAUGGGCGCUACAAAGAGCAGCGAUACGGUGACGUUGAGCGAAUCUCAAAAAAGCGUUCUCAGUUCGGAUUGAGGGCUGCAACCCGCCCUCAUGAAGCAGGAGUUGCUAGUAAUCCCGAAUCAGCAUGUCGGGGUGAAUGCGUUCCCGGGUCUUGUACACACCGCCCGU